CCCACACACUAACAGGAAGUAUACUAUACAACAUACCAUCACGUGCAGGACUACACAUGUAAUAUAUAAACUUACAUGUCCAUGUGGACUGGUUUAUGUCGGUAAAACCGAAACUGCCCUAUGUGAAAGAAUCAGAGGCCACCGGUCCAGUAUCAGGUUAGCAGGUAUACAGGGAUGGAUCAUCUGAUAAACCAGUGGCCAAACACUUCCUGCAACACAGAC
Pelobates cultripes (western spadefoot toad) is the source of this 222-nucleotide non-coding RNA. The record is from the annotation of a GenBank genome assembly. NCBI's taxonomy places the organism in Eukaryota, Metazoa, Chordata, Amphibia, Anura, Pelobatidae.